GGGGAACUGAAAACAAGCACAGGGAAGGGAGAGGAAAGAACACCGGAAGGGUAGGGAACAGGGGCAAGUCCUAACAACAGGCCCUGUCCCUAACCCAUGUGACCCUGAAAGAACCAGCCCCAGGAUGAACUCAGCUCAGAGAGACAACAGACAACAGAACUGACCCGGCUGGACCAUCAGGGCAGUGCUGGAGCCCAAGCUCUUUUCCACAGAGAGAGGACAGAGCCAAACAACAGAUCAUGGAGCCCCCCUCAGCCCAUCCCCCAAUGUGUGUCCCCUGGCAGGGGCUCCUGCUUGCAGCCUCACUGCUAACCAUCUGGAACUUCCCCGCCACCGCGACGCCUACUGCUGAGUCGGUGCCACCCGCAGUUCUCGAAGGGCAGAGCGUUCUUCUUCUUGCUCACAACCUGCCAGACAACCUACUAGCCUAUCACUGGUACAAGGGAAAACGGUCGAUAGACAAAGAUCUAAUUAUAAUGUAUGAAAUAAAAUCUCAAGAAACUAAACAAGGGAAGCUGUACAGCGGCAAAGAGACUCUGUACCCUAAUGGAUCCUUGAUGUUACAGAACGUCACCUUGAAGCAAUCUGGAAUCUACCACCUAAAUAUCCAUUCUGCAGAUAACCAAAAGUCAGUGUUUGUGGAAGUCUUUGUGUACCCUCUGUUAAGCAAGCCCACCAUACGAAGCAACAGGACCACUGCUGUUGAGGGCCGAGACACCGUCGAGCUGACUUGUGACCCUCUCUUCCGGAAAACAACCUACCUGUGGCAUCUGAAUGGGUCUCUAGGCAUUUCAGAGGACGCUAUGAAUGUGAAGCCAAGAACCCACUGGGUGCCUUCCAUAGUGAUCCAUUCACUCUGGAUGUUUUCUAUGGCCCAGAUACCCCCGAAAUAUUUCCCCCGCACAAAUACUUUGAGGAAGGCAGGAGCAUGUGGCUCUCCUGCCAAGCAGUGUCUCACCCCAAAGCACACUAUUCCUGGAAUGUCAAUGGAGAGCCCUGGAACGCUAGACAAGAGCUGUCUAUCCACCAGGUCAGCAUAAGUAAUAAUGGACUUUAUACCUGCCUCGUCAACAACGCAGCAACUGGCCGCAAUAAUUCCAAGGUCAAGGAAGUUAUAAUAGUGGAGAAGUUGCCAAAGCCCCACAUCCAAGUCAAAAAUGAAACAGUCUUAGAACAUCAUUUUGUGGACCUGACCUGCAUAUCAGAAAACACUGGAGUUUCCAUCUGGUGGACGUUCAACAAUCAGAAGCUGAAGGCCACAGACAGGAUGACGUUCUCCUGGAACAACAGAAGGCUCACCAUAGACCCUGUCACAAAGGAGGAUGCCGGGGCAUACCAGUGUGAGGUCUCCAACCCCCUCAACACCAGGCUGAGUGAUCCAGUCAAGCUGGCUGUGCUCUAUCAACCGUCAAAAAGUCCCCUGUUGUCACCCACGAUAGUGGCUAGCUUGGUUGCUGAAGUUCUGGCCGGGCUGGCUAUCCUGGGAGGCCUGGCAUAUUUCGUGUUUUUCAAGAAACUUGACAAGGCUUAGAACAAAAGAUUCCUUUGUAUUUCUCUGUCUCCCAGUCCGGAAAGCCACGAAGGAGUACACAGGCAGGAACGAAAGAACUGGAAGAGAGCAAAAAGAAAGCGCAGAAAGAGCAAGAAGUAAGAGCAUUCACAGUGAGGACAAGCCAACACUGUCCACCCAAGGUCACAGGCCCCAUGACAGCUAUCCUCACGAGACAAGUAUUGCCUGUCUCCCCUCAGAUGGCUCUGCAGGACCUGUGGACUCUUGGAACCACAACUGUGCCAUCAAGUGUGUGUCCUUAGUUCCUCAUGCAACCGACAAGGAGCUUCACCUCUCCGUCCUUAGCCUGCUCACCUACACUGCCCACUACCAAAGGGGCCAAGGGGUGUGACAACUAGCACCUAUGUAGCUCCCAGCACAGACCCAAACAAGGAAGGGACCCUUC
RNAcentral lists this small RNA (1955 nucleotides) under Rattus norvegicus (Norway rat). Its description in RNAcentral is "CEA cell adhesion molecule 6 (Ceacam6)". The record is from RNAcentral. Lineage: Eukaryota; Metazoa; Chordata; Mammalia; Rodentia; Muridae.